ACACAUGCAAGUCGAGGGGCAGCGCGGGAUAGCAAUAUCCUGGCGGCGACCGGCGGAAGGGUGCGUAACGCGUGAGCGACAUGCCCGUUGCCCGGGGACAACCGGUGGAAACGCCGACUAAUCCCCGAUGGGAUAUUGUGCCGCAUGGCACGAUAUUGAAAGUUACGGCGGCGACGGAUUGGCUCGCGUCCGAUUAGCUUGUUGGCGGGGUAACGGCCCACCAAGGCUACGAUCGGUAGGGGUUCUGAGAGGAAGGCCCCCCACAGUGGGACUGAGACACGGCCCAUACUCCUACGGGAGGCAGCAGUGAGGAAUAUUGGUCAAUGGGCGGAAGCCUGAACCAGCCAUGCCGCGUGCGGGAAGGAGGCCCUAUGGGCUGUGAACCGCUUUUGCCUGGGGGCAAUAAGGGCGUCGCGCACGCCCGAUGAGAGUACCAGGCGAAUAAGCAUCGGCUAACUCCGUGCCAGCAGCCGCGGUAAUACGGGGGAUGCGAGCGUUAUCCGGAUUCAUUGGGUUUAAAGGGUGCGUAGGCUGUGCGUCAAGUCGGGGGUGAAAUUCCGGUGCUCAACACCGGGGCUGCCCUUGAUACUGUCGCGCUGGAGUGCGGAUGCCGCCGGAGGAAUGAGUGGUGUAGCGGUGAAAUGCUUAGAUAUCACUCAGAACACCGAUUGCGAAGGCAUCUGGCGAAUCCGUAACUGACGCUGAGGCACGAAAGCGUGGGGAUAGAACAGGAUUAGAUACCCUGGUAUUCCACGCCGUAAACGAUGAUGGCUAACCGCCGGCGACACACUGUCGGUGGCCAAGCGAAAGCGAUAAGCCAUCCACCUGGGGAGUACGUCG
Molecule: ribosomal RNA, 840 nt
Filed under: uncultured bacterium
Lineage: Bacteria
Description: bacterial SSU rRNA
Rfam family: Bacterial small subunit ribosomal RNA
Source: RNAcentral